AGGAGCCAGCUUCUCCUCCGAGCUGACGCCAGCCGUGGUCCCCAGCCGGUGCCUGCAUUAGGGCCGGGAGCAGGACGGCCCGAGAUCCCCUAGAGUCCCCUUCCCAGGCUCAGCAGAGGGUGCUGAGGUGUGGAGGGGGCAUCCUGAAGGAGCUGCCCCGAGCAUGCAGCCCGCUGCUGCAGAGCAAGGCCCGGCCUCCUUCCUCGGAGUCCAGCCCAGAGGCGAUGAGUACGCAGGCAGCUGGACAGAUGAGAAAGCAGAGCUGGUGAGGAUGGUGACAGCGACGGCGGCAGGACUGACACCGGGCGGCCUACCUCCACCUGCCAGUUCAUGGCGAGGAGAGGACUCAUCUUGAAAACUGGGAGAUUCCAGCCCUUUUAGCUGCUUGGCACCAGAUUUAACACCAGUCAGGAAGCACAUUUUGAAGACCUUCUAUGAGCAAAGCCCUGAAACUUCACAAAAGGUAUUUUCCCCUCUGUCUGUAAUCUGAUAUUGAGUACAAAGUCGUCUCAAUUUUUUUUAUUGUGUUUGUUAUAAGUUGAAUUGUGUCUCCUGAAACUCAUAUGUUGAAGUCCUAAUCCUCCUUGUGACCUUAUUUGGGAAUAGGGCCAUUGCAGAUGGCAUUUGUUAAAGUGAGGUCAAUAGGGUGGACCCCAAUCUAAUCUGGUGACCUUAUGAAAAUGGGAAAUUUGGGCACAGAGACACACACACACACACACACACAC
This is a long non-coding RNA of Callorhinus ursinus (northern fur seal), 725 nucleotides long. RefSeq lists it as uncharacterized. Lineage: Eukaryota; Metazoa; Chordata; Mammalia; Carnivora; Otariidae. The record is from RefSeq and is a predicted model, not a curated record.